This 303-nucleotide ribosomal RNA is filed under the name uncultured bacterium. RNAcentral's name for it is "bacterial SSU rRNA". It matches the Rfam family "Bacterial small subunit ribosomal RNA", at positions 29 to 314 of the family's 1533-position model. The record is from RNAcentral.
AACGAACGCUGGCGGCGUGCUUAAUACAUGCAAGUCGAGCGAGAAAGUUCCCUUCGGGGAGCGAGUACAGCGGCGAACGGGUGCGUAACACGUGGGCAAUUUGCCCCUAAGUCCGGGACAAGCCACCGAAAGGGGGUCUAAUACCGGAUGUGGUUGUUCCGAGGCAUCUCGGGACAAUCAAAGGUAGCCACUACACUAUGCUAUCGCUUGGGGAUGAGCCCGCGGCCCAUUAGCUUGUUGGCGGGGUAACGGCCCACCAAGGCUACGAUGGGUAGCCGGCCUGAGAGGGUGAUCGGCCACACU